This 397-nucleotide ribosomal RNA is filed under the name uncultured bacterium. RNAcentral describes it as "partial 16S ribosomal RNA". It matches the Rfam family "Bacterial small subunit ribosomal RNA", at positions 523 to 918 of the family's 1533-position model. The record is from RNAcentral.
AUACGUAGGGGGCGAGCGUUGUCCGGAAUGAUUGGGCGUAAAGGGCGCGUAGGCGGCGCGGUAAGUCUGGAGUGAAAGUCCUGCUUUCAAGGUGGGAAUUGCUUUGGAUACUGCCGCGCUUGAGUGCAGGAGAGGUUAUCGGAAUUCCCGGUGUAGCGGUGAAAUGCGUAGAGAUCGGGAGGAACACCAGUGGCGAAGGCGGGUAACUGGACUGCAACUGACGCUGAGGCGCGAAAGUGUGGGGAGCAAACAGGAUUAGAUACCCUGGUAGUCCACACUGUAAACGAUGAAUGCUAGGUGUAAGAGGUAUCGACCCCUGUUGUGCCGGAGUCAACACAAUAAGCAUUCCGCCUGGGGAGUACGGCCGCAAGGUUGAAACUCAAAUGAAUUGACGGGG